AAAGCCUUAGCUUAAUUAAAGCACCUGCUUUGCACGCAGGAGAUGUGGGAUAGUGUCCGGCAGGCUUUA
RNAcentral lists this transfer RNA (69 nucleotides) under Bothus robinsi (twospot flounder). Its description in RNAcentral is "tRNA-Ala". It matches the Rfam family "tRNA". Rfam says of the family: Transfer RNA (tRNA) molecules are approximately 80 nucleotides in length. Lineage: Eukaryota; Metazoa; Chordata; Actinopteri; Pleuronectiformes; Bothidae. The record is from RNAcentral.